GGCUAACUACGUGCCAGCAGCCGCGGUAAGACGUAGGAUGCAAGCGUUGUCCGGAUUUAUUGGGCGUAAAGAGUUCGUAGGUGGUUUGUUAAGUUUGGUGUUAAAGAUUGGGGCUCAACCCUGAAACUGCACUGAAUACUGGCAGACUCGAGUGUGGUAGAGGCUAGUGGAAUUCCCAGUGUAGCGGUGAAAUGCGUAGAUAUUGGGAAGAACACCGGUGGCGUAGGCGACUAGCUGGGCCAUAACUGACACUGAGGAACGAAAGCCAGGGGAGCGAAUGGGAUUAGAUACCCCAGUAGUCCUGGCCGUAAACGAUGGAUACUAGGCGUAUCGGGUAUCGACCCCUGAUGUGCCGCAGCUAACGCGAUAAGUAUCCCGCCUGAGUAGUACGGCCGCAAGGUUGAAACUCAAAGGAAUUGACGGG
RNAcentral lists this ribosomal RNA (424 nucleotides) under uncultured bacterium. Its description in RNAcentral is "bacterial SSU rRNA". It matches the Rfam family "Bacterial small subunit ribosomal RNA", at positions 495 to 917 of the family's 1533-position model. The record is from RNAcentral.